Molecule: ribosomal RNA, 399 nt
Filed under: uncultured bacterium
Lineage: Bacteria
Description: bacterial SSU rRNA
Rfam family: Bacterial small subunit ribosomal RNA
Source: RNAcentral
AAUCAACGCUGGCGGCGUGCCUAACACAUGCAAGUCGAACGCGAAAGUCCCGCAAGGGAUAAGUAGAGUGGCAAACGGGUGAGUAACACGUGGGUGACCUGCCUUCGAGUGGGGGAUAACGUCCCGAAGGGACGCUAAUACCGCAUGACAUCCUGCUUUUGAACAGGUGGAGAUCAAAGCUGGGGAUCGCAAGACCUAGCGCUUGAAGAGGGGCCCGCGCCUGANAGCUAGUUGGUGGGGUAACGGCUCACCAAGGCGACGAUCAGUAUCCGGCCUGAGAGGGCGGACGGACACACUGGGACUGAGACACGGCCCAGACUCCUACGGGAGGCAGCAGUGGGGAAUUGUUCGCAAUGGGCGCAAGCCUGACGACGCAACGCCGCGUGGAGGAUGAAGACC